Molecule: long non-coding RNA, 374 nt
Organism: Morus notabilis
Lineage: Eukaryota; Viridiplantae; Streptophyta; Magnoliopsida; Rosales; Moraceae
Exons: 2
Source: RefSeq, a predicted model, not a curated record
AUUUGAAACUGCAUUAAAACUCCGUGGAGGCCCCUCAUUAGUAUUUGCUCAUUCAUUGGGAAAUAAUGUAUUCCUGUACUUCUUGGAAUGGUUAAAGCUGGAAAUUGCACCAAAACAUUACAACGAAUGGCUGGACGAACAUAUUCAUGCCUAUUUUGCUGUUGGAGCUCCUCUUCUUGGUGCGCCUGAUACAGUUAAAGCGACACUUUCUGGAUCAACAUUUGGUCUUCCUCUUUCUGAGGUUACUACUUUUACAUUCAUUUUUCAGGUCUUGCGUUUAUCCGUUGCACAUAGUACUUACGUUUCUGUUCAUCGAUUCCGAUGCAAGACAUAAUCCUCAUUUAAUCCGUACUAGCCUUCGAUAAUUUUCCUAG